GCAACGAGCGCAACCCUUGUCAUUAGUUGCUACGAAAGGGCAACUCUAAUGAGACUGCCGGUGACAAACCGGAGGAAGGUGGGGAUGACGUCAAGUCCUCAUGGCCCUUAUAGGUGGGGCUACACACGUCAUACAAUGGCUGGUACAAAGGGUUGCCAACCCGCGAGGGGGAGCCAAUCCCAUAAAGCCAGUCGUAGUCCGGAUCGCAGUCUGCAACUCGACUGCGUGAAGUCGGAAUCGCUAGUAAUCGUGGAUCAGCAUGUCACGGUGAAUACGUUCCCGGGUCUU
Molecule: ribosomal RNA, 288 nt
Filed under: uncultured Hydrogenophaga sp.
Lineage: Bacteria; Pseudomonadati; Pseudomonadota; Betaproteobacteria; Burkholderiales; Comamonadaceae
Description: partial 16S ribosomal RNA
Rfam family: Bacterial small subunit ribosomal RNA
Source: RNAcentral